AGAGUUUGAUCAUGGCUCAGGACGAACGCUGGCGGCGUGCCUAAUACAUGCAAGUCGAGCGGAUCUCUAGGAGCUUGCUCCUGUUGAUUAGCGGCGGACGGGUGAGUAACACGUGGGCAACCUGCCUGUAAGUCUGGGAUAACACCGGGAAACCGGUGCUAAUACCGGAUAAUCCUUUUCCUCUCAUGAGGAAAAGCUGAAAGUCGGUUUCGGCUGACACUUACAGAUGGGCCCGCGGCGCAUUAGCUAGUUGGUGAGGUAACGGCUCACCAAGGCGACGAUGCGUAGCCGACCUGAGAGGGUGAUCGGCCACACUGGGACUGAGACACGGCCCAGACUCCUACGGGAGGCAGCAGUAGGGAAUCUUCCACAAUGGACGAAAGUCUGAUGGAGCAACGCCGCGUGAGCGAUGAAGGCCUUCGGGUCGUAAAGCUCUGUUGUUAGGGAAGAACAAGUACCGGAGUAACUGCCGGUACCUUGACGGUACCUAACCAGAAAGCCACGGCUAACUACGUGCCAGCAGCCGCGGUAAUACGUAGGUGGCAAGCGUUGUCCGGAAUUAUUGGGCGUAAAGCGCGCGCAGGCGGUCCUUUAAGUCUGAUGUGAAAGCCCACGGCUCAACCGUGGAGGGUCAUUGGAAACUGGGGGACUUGAGUGCAGAAGAGGAAAGCGGAAUUCCACGUGUAGCGGUGAAGUGCGUAGAGAUGUGGAGGAACACCAGUGGCGAAGGCGGCUUUCUGGUCUGUAACUGACGCUGAGGCGCGAAAGCGUGGGGAGCAAACAGGAUUAGAUACCCUGGUAGUCCACGCCGUAAACGAUGAGUGCUAAGUGUUAGGGGGUUUCCGCCCCUUAGUGCUGCAGCUAACGCAUUAAGCACUCCGCCUGGGGGAGUACGGCC
RNAcentral lists this ribosomal RNA (898 nucleotides) under uncultured bacterium. RNAcentral describes it as "bacterial SSU rRNA". It matches the Rfam family "Bacterial small subunit ribosomal RNA", at positions 8 to 887 of the family's 1533-position model. The record is from RNAcentral.